Molecule: non-coding RNA, 404 nt
Organism: Dermacentor albipictus
Lineage: Eukaryota; Metazoa; Arthropoda; Arachnida; Ixodida; Ixodidae
Source: RefSeq, a predicted model, not a curated record
UGGUCGCACAGGCUUAAAGUUCUGAAGCCAUGCUAUGCGUGAUCUUUCUUCGUUAUUUGCAUUUUUGCCCUAAAGGCCAACUACAAUGACAUUUCACUUUGGCGAGAUCUGUUGUAAAUGAUGAGCAUAGCUACAACCGAAGCGAUCGUGGCGAAGCCGCAGGGCUGGUUUCCCGUUAGCUAGUAGCCAUCUACAGCCCCUAAACGGACGACGGGUGCGCCUGGUGGUUGUCGCCAAUGACGUGUCACGACAGUCAGCAGGCCCCAAAGUUCUCUAAUUACGGCGUCCCGGUUUUGACAAGUGCCGCGCAUGCGGAAUCUGAUUCGGCUUCCCAACACUCCAGGAGGAUGUGGAGUACGGUAAGCCUCUCCCCGCAUCUACCACAGGUUGGAGGCUCACUUCCG